Molecule: ribosomal RNA, 403 nt
Filed under: uncultured bacterium
Lineage: Bacteria
Description: partial 16S ribosomal RNA
Rfam family: Bacterial small subunit ribosomal RNA
Source: RNAcentral
GACGAACGCUGGCGGCGUGCCCAAUACAUGCAAGUCGAACGCAGUGGGGACGGGUGAGUAACACGUGGGUAACCUCCCAUCAGAGGGGAUAACACUUGGAAACAGGUGCUAAACCCAUACUGAUGGAUAGCCCCGCGGUGCAUUGGCUAGUUGGUGAGGUAACGGCUCACCAAGGCCACGAUGCAUAGCAGACGUGAGAGGGUGAUCGGCCACACUGGUACGGAGACACGGACCAGACUCCUACGGAAGGCAGCAGUAGGGAAUCUUCGGCAAUGGACGCAAGCCUGACCGAGCAACGCCGCGUGAGUGAAGAAGGUUUUCGGAUCGUAAAACUCUGUUGUUAGAGAGGCGGUAUCUAAACAGUAAGCAACGGCUAACUACGUGCCAGCAGCCGCGGUAAUAC